GAAAAAAAUUGAAUCCCUCCCUCAACCCCGUUGAAACCGCCUCCCCUCAAUCCCAUGAAUCUCUCCCAUAUCCCCAACCCCUUUCCUCUAUAUUAAAUCUUCAGCCAUUAUUUCUUUUCUCACCUAUCGUCUCUGCAAGCAAGAAUCAUCUUCAACUUCUAUCCAAGUAAUCAAACUCCUCCAGCUUCAAGAACCCGCCUUUCAGCCUUGUGAACUUCACAACCCAAAUCCAAUUCACGGAGGUGAUAUCUCGCAAGGGAAUCGUGAUCGCAAAGGAAAGAAAAUAGUUUUGGAAUAAGCACUCAAGGUUGAGCGGCGACGAGGAUGUGGUGGUGUUGAGCAAAUGAAUAUAAUAUAUU
Long non-coding RNA from Salvia splendens (bonfire salvia), 359 nucleotides. RefSeq lists it as uncharacterized. Lineage: Eukaryota; Viridiplantae; Streptophyta; Magnoliopsida; Lamiales; Lamiaceae. The record is from RefSeq and is a predicted model, not a curated record. The transcript is spliced from 4 exons.